Unclassified non-coding RNA from Papio anubis (olive baboon), 117 nucleotides. It matches the Rfam family "Metazoan signal recognition particle RNA". From Rfam's summary of the family: The signal recognition particle (SRP) is a universally conserved ribonucleoprotein. It is involved in the co-translational targeting of proteins to membranes. Lineage: Eukaryota; Metazoa; Chordata; Mammalia; Primates; Cercopithecidae. The record is from Ensembl.
GCCGGGCGCGGCGGCUCACGCCUGUAAUCCCAGCACUUUGGGAGGCUGAGGCAGGUGGAUCACCAGAGGUCGGGAGUUCAAGACCAGCCUGACCAACAUGGAGAAACCCUGUCUCUA